This 183-nucleotide long non-coding RNA is filed under the name Anser brachyrhynchus (Pink-footed goose). RNAcentral's name for it is "lncRNA (ENSABRG00000007761.1)". Lineage: Eukaryota; Metazoa; Chordata; Aves; Anseriformes; Anatidae. The record is from RNAcentral.
ACUUGAACCCACAAAAACAACAACGAUGAGGAAGCUUGAAAAAUAAACAAACCAAGAACGUUACUUUUGGCUCAGGAAGAGGCCACAAGAUGCAUUGUUUGUUACUGAAGUUGUAGUCCUGGUGUCCUGCGUGACUUUCUCCAGACGAGAGGUGCUUCUCAAAACUCUCCGGCUCUUUUCAGU